CCUUCUUGUUUGUAAUUAUAGAAUAUUAUAAUGAUUGCAUUCAGUCUUCCCAUGUAAAUUGAAAGCCAUCGGAGCAUUUUCUUGACUUUUUUAUAGAAUUGGUACAGUGACUUAAGUUCUACUCAUCAUGUAAUGAGUAAUGAGUGCUUUUAGAAUGAAUACAAAUGUAAUUUUUAGGAAGUUCAGGAAAAAAUCUUACCAAGAAUAUCCAAGGGGGGCUGGCGAGUCCCAGUGCGAGUGGAGGGUGCCAGAGGUAGGGGGCCGAGAAACAAAGUUCCCAGGGCUCCCUCCAGGGCCGUGGUCAGGGCUGCGCGUUUGGCCGCCCCCCUCCUCGCGAAGACAAUGGCUUCCAAACGCCUGCGCGCAGUCAUCCUCGGGCUGCCCGGCUGGGGCAAGGGCACCGUGUGCCAGAGGAUCGCCCAGAACUUUGGCCUCCAGCAUCUCUCCAGCGGCCACUUCUUGGGGGAGAACAUCAAAGCCAACACCGAAGUUGGUGAGACGGCACAGCAGUAUAUAGAGAAAAGUCUUUUGGUUCCAGACCAUGUGAUCACACGCCUAAUGAUGUCGGAGUUGGAGAAUAGGCGUGGCCAGCACUGGCUCCUUGAUGGUUUUCCUAGGACAUUAGGACAAGCCGAAGCCCUGGACAAAAUCUGUGAAGUGGAUCUAGUGAUCAGUUUGAACAUUCCAUUUGAAACACUUAAAGAUCGUCUCAGCCGCUGUUGAAUUCACCCUCCUAGUGGAAGGGUAUAUAACCUGGACUUCAAUCCACCUCAUGUACAUGGUAUUGAUGAUGUCACCGGUGAGCCAUUAGUCCAGCAGGAGGAUGAUAAACCUGAAGCAGUUGCUGCCAGGCUAAGACAGUACAAAGACGUGGCGAAGCCAGUCAUUGACUUAUACAAGAGCCGAGGGGUGCUCCACCAAUUUUCCGGGACGGAGACGAACAAAAUCUGGCCCUACAUUUACACACUUUUCUCGAACAAGAUCACACCUAUUCAGUCCAAAAGAAGCAUAUUGACCCUGCCCAAUGGAAGAACCAGAAAGAUGUGGUCAUUCAUUCAAUUGUGUGUGUAGUAUUGGUGCUGUGUCCAAAUUAGAAGCUAGCUGAGGUAGCUUACAGCAUCUUUUCUAGUUGAAAUGGUGAACUGAUAGGAAAACAAAUGAGUAGAAAGAGUUCACAAGAGGCCUUCCUCUGCCUUUCAAAAGGAAAGUCACCUACACAUGUUUAAGGUGUCUCUGCACAUGUCUCAAGCCCUUCACAAGAAAGCAAGUACAGUGUGGAUUUCAAAUGGUAUGUAACCUCAGCUCCAGCUGGUUUUUGACAGCCUGGUCUUGAGUGAGUGUGUCCACAGUUCAUUUUUUUCCGGUGAGAAUAACUCCUUUUCUAUAUCCACACUCCAUAAAGUCUCUCCUUUUCAGACAUCCUGGGAUGAAAGAAUUUGGCUGUUUUUUUUUUUUUUUUUUGACAUCUGUUUUCUCUUUUAGGCUGUUAAACAAAACUGAUAGUUAUUGCUCUUAUCCCUCUCAAAUUCUUCUAAGAACUGAGAGUGAUGGGGCUGUAUUGAAUUUCUGUAUGCACCGGAAACUGAGCCAUGAAGAGGAUCUUAUUAAACUGCUGGUCUGACUCUCAUGGAUUGACACUGUUCCUUUCUUUUAUUGUGAAAAAAAAAUAACCCCCUAAAAGUCUUGGGAACCCCCUAAAGUCUUUUGGAAAUCCUCAAAAAGCAUGGGAAGUAUAAGUAUUUAGCUACAUAAAUGUUGUAAGAUCAUAUCUUAUGUAUAGAAGUAAUAAGACUAUUUGGAAUUACUAGACUAAUUGAAUAGUUAACGGUUUCUAUUCAGUACAACAAAAUGUAUUUUGAAAAUGCUGCCAACUAUUGAUGCUGACAGUGUUUCACUCCUAUGAGUGACCCAAACAUAUUAUAAAUCGGUGGUAAAGGGAGUGGAGCCUGUGGGGUUGAGCAGAAUGUUGUACUAGCUGUGCCUGGACUGAGUAUAAUAACUUUAUGAUUAUGGGAAAACAAAAUCUUUAUUUUUUUUUUCUGUUCCAAAGAUUCAUCCUGUGGGGUGGCCAUGAAGUCUAGAAUUAGAUACUAACAUUUUGUCAUGCAUUAUAACAUAGUAUCAAGAAACCAUUUGUUAAAAGAUUUAAAAAAAGAAAAAAGAAAAAAAAAGAAAAUCCAAGGGAAAACAGAACAGUAAUAGAAGUACAGAUACAGCAGCAUGGCAAGAUAAGUCCACAGAAUUUACUUACAGUGUACAUACUAGUGAUAAAAAAACAGCCUAGCAUUUUUUUUUUAAAUAGUAAUUUUAGGCUGGGUGCCAUGACUUAACGCCAGUAAUCCCAGCACUUUGGGAGGCCGGGGCAGGCGAAUCACGAGGUUAGGAGUUCGA
Piliocolobus tephrosceles (Ugandan red Colobus) is the source of this 2391-nucleotide RNA transcript. It is a transcript of the gene named adenylate kinase 4, mitochondrial pseudogene, with no coding region annotated. NCBI's taxonomy places the organism in Eukaryota, Metazoa, Chordata, Mammalia, Primates, Cercopithecidae. The transcript has a single exon. The record is from RefSeq and is a predicted model, not a curated record.